AACGAACGCUGGCGGCGUGCCUAACACAUGCAAGUCGAGGGAGAAAGCCCGCAAGGGUUAGUAAACCGGCGAACGGGUGCGUAACACGUGGAUAAUCUACCUUCCUGACUGGGACAACUGGCCGAAAGGCUUGCUAAUACCAGAUAAGCCCACGUCGUCUUCGGACGCUGAGGGAAAAGGUGGCCUCUGCAUGCAAGCUAUCACAGGGAGAUGAGUCCGCGGCCCAUCAGCUCGUUGGCGGGGUAAAAGCCCACCAAGGCUACGACGGGU
Molecule: ribosomal RNA, 270 nt
Filed under: uncultured bacterium
Lineage: Bacteria
Description: partial 16S ribosomal RNA
Rfam family: Bacterial small subunit ribosomal RNA
Source: RNAcentral